UGAUUGAUUGAUUUAUUUUUGUCUGCUUAC
This 30-nucleotide non-coding RNA is filed under the name Rattus norvegicus (Norway rat). Lineage: Eukaryota; Metazoa; Chordata; Mammalia; Rodentia; Muridae. The record is from RNAcentral.